This 466-nucleotide ribosomal RNA is filed under the name uncultured bacterium. RNAcentral's name for it is "partial 16S ribosomal RNA". It matches the Rfam family "Bacterial small subunit ribosomal RNA", at positions 28 to 508 of the family's 1533-position model. The record is from RNAcentral.
GACGAACGCUGGCGGCGUGCUUAACACAUGCAAGUCGAACGGAAAGGCCCCUUUGGGGGUACUCGAGUGGCGAACGGGUGAGUAACACGUGAGUAACCUGCCCUUGACUUCGGGAUAACUUCAGGAAACUGGGGCUAAUACCGGAUAGGAAUCCUUGCUGCAUGGUGGGGGUUGGAAAGCUUCGGCGGUUUUGGAUGGACUCGCGGCUUAUGAGCUUGUUGGUGGGGUAGUGGCUUACCAAGGCUUUGACGGGUAGCCGGCCUGAGAGGGCGACCGGCCACAUUGGGACUGAGAUACGGCCCAGACUCCUACGGGAGGCAGCAGUGGGGAAUAUUGCACAAUGGGCGGAAGCCUGAUGCAGCAACGCCGCGUGCGGGAUGACGGCCUUCGGGUUGUAAACCGCUUUCAGCAGGGGCGAAGCUUGUGGUGACGGUACCUGCAGAAGAAGCACCGGCUAACUACGUGC